RNAcentral lists this ribosomal RNA (241 nucleotides) under uncultured eukaryote. RNAcentral's name for it is "partial 18S ribosomal RNA". It matches the Rfam family "Eukaryotic small subunit ribosomal RNA", at positions 629 to 868 of the family's 1831-position model. The record is from RNAcentral.
CGUAGUUGGAUUUCUGGCGGGAGCAACCAGUCCUGCCCCUUGCGGGGUUGUGCACUAGUGUUGCAUCCGGCCAUCCUUGUGGAGAGCGUUUCUGGCAUUAAGUUGUCGGACUCGGGAUCCGCAUCGUUUACUGUGAAAAAAUUAGAGUGUUUAAAGCAGGCAUUUGCUUGAAUACAUUAGCAUGGAAUAAUAAGAUAGGACUUUGGUUGCUAUUUUGUUGGUUUGCGCACCAAGGUAAUGA